UAAGAAUUAGUUAAAAAUCUAAUAUAAACUUGUCAUGUUUAAGUUGCACUAGCAUUCUUAA
This 61-nucleotide transfer RNA is filed under the name Proasellus rectus. Its description in RNAcentral is "transfert RNA-D(GAC)". The record is from RNAcentral. Lineage: Eukaryota; Metazoa; Arthropoda; Malacostraca; Isopoda; Asellidae.